RNAcentral lists this ribosomal RNA (497 nucleotides) under uncultured bacterium. Its description in RNAcentral is "partial 16S ribosomal RNA". It matches the Rfam family "Bacterial small subunit ribosomal RNA", at positions 28 to 507 of the family's 1533-position model. The record is from RNAcentral.
GAUGAACGCUGGCGGCGUGCCUAAUACAUGCAAGUCGAGCGAACAGACGAGGAGCUUGCUCCUCUGACGUUAGCGGCGGACGGGUGAGUAACACGUGGAUAACCUACCUAUAAGACUGGGAUAACUUCGGGAAACCGGAGCUAAUACCGGAUAAUAUAUUGAACCGCAUGGUUCAAUAGUGUAAGACGGUUUUGCUUUCACUUAUAGAUGGAUCCGCGCCGCAUUAGCUAGUUGGUAAGGUAACGGCUUACCAAGGCAACGAUGCGUAGCCGACCUGAGAGGGUGAUCGGCCACACUGGAACUGAGACACGGUCCAGACUCCUACGGGAGGCAGCAGUAGGGAAUCUUCCGCAAUGGGCGAAAGCUUGACGGAGCAACGCCGCGUGAGUGAUGAAGGUCUUCGGAUCGUAAAACUCUGUUAUUAGGGAAGAACAAAUGUGUAAGUAACUAUGCACGUCUUGACGGUACCUAAUCAGAAAGCCACGGCUAACUACGUG